AGAACGAACGCUGGCGGCAUGCCUAAUACAUGCAAGUCGAACGAACACUUCGAUGUUAGUGGCGCACGGGUGCGUAACGCGUGGGAAUCUGCCCUUGGGUCCGGAAUAACAGUUGGAAACGACUGCUAAUACCGGAUGAUAUCGAAAGAUCAAAGAUUUAUCGCCCAGGGAUGAGCCCGCGUAGGAUUAGCUAGUUGGUGAGGUAAAGGCUCACCAAGGCGACGAUCCUUAGCUGGUCUGAGAGGAUGAUCAGCCACACUGGGACUGAGACACGGCCCAGACUCCUACGGGAGCAGCAGUAGGGAAUAUUGGACAAUGGGCGCAAGCCUGAUCCAGCAAUGCCGCGUGAGUGAUGAAGGCCGUUAGGGUUGUAAAGCUCUUUUACCCGAGAUGAUAAUGGCAAGUAUACGGGAGAAAUAACGACCCCGGCUAACCUCCCGUGCCCAGACAGCCGGAC
RNAcentral lists this ribosomal RNA (457 nucleotides) under uncultured soil bacterium. RNAcentral describes it as "bacterial SSU rRNA". It matches the Rfam family "Bacterial small subunit ribosomal RNA", at positions 26 to 522 of the family's 1533-position model. The record is from RNAcentral.